AUUGAACGCUGGCGGCAUGCUUUACACAUGCAAGUCGAACGGCAGCGCGGGCUUCGGCCUGGCGGCGAGUGGCGAACGGGUGAGUAAUACAUCGGAACGUGCCCAGUAGUGGGGGAUAGCUCGGCGAAAGCCGGAUUAAUACCGCAUACGACCUGAGGGUGAAAGCCGGGGAUCUUCGGACCUCGCGCUAUUUGAGCGGCCGAUGGCAGAUUAGCUAGUUGGUGGGGUAAAGGCCUACCAAGGCGACGAUCUGUAGCUGGUCUGAGAGGACGACCUGCCACACUGGGACUGAGACACGGCCCAGACUCCUACGGGAGGCAGCAGUGGGGAAUUUUGGACAAAGGGCGAAAGCCUGAUCCAGCAAUGCCGCGUGUGUGAUGAAGGCCUUCGGGUUGUAAAGCACUUUUGGCGGGAACGAAAAGGACUGUGCCAAUACCACGGUUCGAUGACGGUACCCGCAGAAUAAGCACCGGCUAACUACGUG
This 484-nucleotide ribosomal RNA is filed under the name uncultured bacterium. RNAcentral's name for it is "partial 16S ribosomal RNA". It matches the Rfam family "Bacterial small subunit ribosomal RNA", at positions 30 to 507 of the family's 1533-position model. The record is from RNAcentral.